RNAcentral lists this long non-coding RNA (2965 nucleotides) under Ursus maritimus (polar bear). Its description in RNAcentral is "lncRNA (ENSUMAG00000017648.1)". Lineage: Eukaryota; Metazoa; Chordata; Mammalia; Carnivora; Ursidae. The record is from RNAcentral.
GUGCAACCUCAUAGGCCCUGGCCGAGCCAGCAGAGAGGCCGCCGGCCAUGGGCACCUGCUCAGAAGACCCCCACCUGGGUGGGGCCUCCUGGCUCCUGGGAUUCACCAGCCUUCUCCUCAGUGUCUGUGGUGCUCUGACCCAGAGCUCUGGAGUCCGUGGUUCUGGAGUGGGGGAUUCUGGAAUCCCUGUUUCUCUGAAGAUGAGAGGAAGUUCUGUUUCGUUUCAUGUGAUCAGAAAACCAGAAUUACCCCCAGAAGGUGAGCUGGAGAAGAUUUCAUGGGGCAUUGUAUAUGGGUCAAACUACAGAGUCAUGCUGAAUGUCCUUCCUGGGAGGAAUGUUCCAGAAUGGGUCAACUUCCAGGACAAGUUCAAGACGAGGGUCCAUGUGCCCAUCAUAACGAAUUUCACUAUAGACAACCUGACCCUAGAGGACAGCGGGCUGUACCGGGCUCGAGUCUACUACACGAGAGGAAGACAGUAUGACCAGGAUUUCCACCUGACGGUCUAUGAGCCCGUGCCCCUUCCCCAGAUCCGGGCCACGGUUCCGUCCCUCACACCAGGCUGGUGCAACGUCACUGUGGAGUGUGACACCACGCGAAACAGGGAGGGCCUGACCAUGGAGUGUGACACCACGGGAACCAGGGAGGGCCUGACCGUGUCCUGGGAGAGCGAGGGCCUCCUCAGGGAGCUGGAGCAGAGACCGGCCCCACGACCAGCGCCCAACCCCUGGACCCUGGCUGUGACCCUGCCCCUGAGCCAGCCCAACGCCAGCCUCACCUGUGUGGUCAGCAACCAGGUGGACCAGAAAACUGCCACCAGGGUCCUUGGGGACAUCUGUGGCCAUGGUCUACAUGGACAGGUCACUGCUGCCCUAUUACGAAACAUCCUAGGAUCUGUUGUGAUCGUGCUGCUGAUCCUGGGAGCUGGGCUGUAUCUUUGGAAGACACGUGGGGAGAAGAAGAACGUGGACUCUGGGAGAGGCAGGUUGCACUUCUCCUUCCUGAGCCCAGACCCCUCCCUCCCCCACUCUUCCUGGAGCUCGCUCUCUCCUGCAUUUUGCGGCUCAGGGAAUGUCCCGCAGGAGGCUGGCUGCUGUGGCCAUGGCCGUGAGGUCAUGGAGGGGGAGGGUCCAGGUCUCCAGGCUCAGACUCCAGCUCCGUCUGUGCAUGACUCAGGUGCAGGAUCACAGGAGGACCACAGGGACCCGGAUGCUGGCAUCCACUACGCAGAGCUGAGCCAGCAAGAGUCUGGAGACAGGAGGGACAGGGGUAGGGGUGCCCCUGAUCUAGAAGAGGAGAGCCCUCUCACCACUGUCUACAGUGAGGUCCGCAGGCCAGGCCAGGCCAUGAGGAGGAUUUAAUGGGAAGAAGCAGGAGAAUCUCGCCCUCCGGAAACACCUGUCUCGUGAGCAUGACGCCUGCAGCUCGGGUCCUGCCUCCUCCACCUCUGAGGCUCUGAGCAGGGACUGGAUGGAUCCACCGUCAGUUAUUUCUGUGCUAAAUCGUUCUGCACAAGGUCACCGUGAGGCACACACAGGGGUAGUUCAAGGGGGAAACUGAGUAAACAAACCUGUUCCAGAACCGCUCAGCCUCAGCUACGUGUCAACCCCAGACGGCCCCGCUCUGCCCCUGGUCUCUACGACAUCCAACUGCCUUUCAGACCCGUAGCCCCUGGGACGAGCCCUGGUGAAUUCCCAAUAUCCCGCCUGGACCGUCUUGAACACCACCCAGCGGUCAGUCCCGUGCUGAGAGCUAUUCACGGACCCUGUGAAUUCGUAACCGUGAGCGCUGGCUGAGUGCCGCUCUGUGACUCGCACUGUUCUGACCACUCUGCUCGCUGUUAACUCACUGGGUCCUCGGGGACUCUCUGUGAAGGGAAUUUGAAUGGCUCCAUGAUGCAGAAGACAAAAUCUGGGUGGAGGGGACCUGAGAUGUCCCUAAAUCUCUCAGUGGAUCUCAUUCCUUCUACCGCGUCCCCAUCCAGGUGGAGUGGAGAGGGACCCUCGUGUCUGGCACCUCUACUAUCUCUGCCAUCUCUCUCCCUUCUGAACUUCCAGUCGUGGGCGUUAGUGGGAUAGACCAGACCCUGGGUCCUGCUCGACUCUCCUCCAGGGGAGCCUCUCCAAGCCUGUCGGGUUCCUGCUUUCCUGAUUUCUUUGCCAAAGUGAGCAGAUAGAGCUUGUGUGAGGAGCUCCCUCUCCUCUUCUCGCUUCCCUUUCUCAGCUGCUCCCUGCGCUGCUCACAAGUGCUGCCCGUGCUCUGGGGUGUCCUGCGUCUCAGGGUCAUGUCUCCCUCACUAGCCUGCAGGCAGCCCGAGGCCAGAAGCUUCGCCUUGUUCUCCGUCCCAUCCCCUGUGUCGCGGACAGAGCUGCUUCCUGGUGGCUGUUCAGUAGCUGUUGCUGGAAGAUGAGAGACGUUUGCUCAGAAAUCAUUUGUCCCUCAUCUGGGCUGCAGGAGAGCCCACCCAAGCCCCCUGUGAGAUCUCCUGAAGUGACAUCACUGUCCUUGCAGACGACCUGCUCAGAGCUGCCCACUGGUCCUGCAAGACAAGCUGCCAGGGUCUCCUGUGAUCGGACCCGCUCCGUGUGCAUCCAGCCGCGGGAGCUCAGCUCGGUUGCGAUCAUAGCUGCCAGUGAUGUGGGAAAGAAAGGCAGAAGAAAAAUUAUUAAAUUUCCUUACUAUCCACAGCCCAUUGACUAGUCCUUGAAACAGGCAGAGUGACCUUCCUCUAGGGAUACAACUCUUGAUGUUAAUACUUUGCUGAGGACAAAAGUCAGUCCUAGCCUGGGAUCCUGUAAGUCUACUUUAACAUACAGAAGUUCUUUUGGAAACUUCGUUUAUCUCUACCCGUCCCCCCUAGAAACAUGUUGGGAAUCAUCCUCAAGCGUAUGACCCACCGAUAUGCAUCUGAAGGGUUUCAUGACUAAGGUUUUAUCAGAUGGUAAUAAAUGACCUUUUCCCAACA